Molecule: long non-coding RNA, 516 nt
Organism: Drosophila willistoni
Lineage: Eukaryota; Metazoa; Arthropoda; Insecta; Diptera; Drosophilidae
Exons: 3
Source: RefSeq, a predicted model, not a curated record
GUAAGGUUCAACUCGAUUCUAGUCAGUGUAAAUCAAAAUUUCAAACCUUUCGGGCUGUUGCGAGCUAAAAAAGUUUUAUGUUUUUUUUAAAUAUAUUUUUACCUUUUUCUUUCUUUUUCGAAAAUCAAGAUGUGUAUUCUUGCUGCCCUUCGUAGCGUUGUGUCCUUAAGGAAGUUCUGGUCCAAAUGGUUUUAACGAUCCUUGUUUUGGGCCAAACAAUGGAUUGUUUACUUCCUGGAGUGGACCGAGUGGGUCAGGCUUCUGGGCAGGAGGUGUGGCUAAACCUGCACGGCUGAAGAAGAAAAGGUGAAGGUGAAAUAAAUAAUUUUACUGCUUUUAAUUAAUAGUGUGGAUCUGUUAACCAUAUACAGUUCAUACGUAUUGACCAUGGACUGGCAGUCUGUAAUCGUAACAGUCGAAGAAAGGCUUAGUGAAAAAAGUUUUAUGCACACAUGACAAAAAACACUGACACUUUUAUAGAAAAUAAAUAAGGAUGACCAAAACCACAAAAAAAAU